AGUCACCACUGCUCUCACACAGAUCUUAUGUAAUGUGGUGGGACACCUCUACCUUAUGAAACCCACCAGUAGAUAAGGUUAUACAUACCUACAGCAUAUAUGAAUGAAGCAGUUCGAAGCAUCGUGUUAAUAACAACAUCAAGCUGUAAUAUUAGCUGACAGUAAACUUACUUUAAAGGGGAACGCUGGGCCAUUAUUGGUAUCGCACCGUCCAGCUGAGUUGUCUAGUCCAUAGCUAACUAGCUACCUGUGCUACCUGUUACGCCCGAAUUCCACAAGGCAGGACUGACUAACAGACAUUUAAAUAAACAUUCAUCUGAGUGACACCAACUUAGAAGCCAACGUCACAGACCCCCCGAUGGACCACUCCAACGUGCUCACGCUGAGCCCGGUGAUGUGUUGAGACCAGUAAAUGACUGAGUGAAACUGUGAUAGACUGAGGGUGAGCUGUUUCAACAGGAAGGUUUUCCUUGUACAGCUCUGUAUGGUGGAUCAUCUCUGACUGUCCUCCAUCUGGAUCUGCACCAAGAUGUUUGUUAUCUCCUGGUCCCUCUCUCAUGUCUCACGACCUUCACUCACCUCCCGGGGAACUCCUCUCCUCAGCUGCCUCUUCAGGCCUUCAUAAAUCAUGAACUGGAUGGCGGGAUUCAGCACCAGCAGCAGGG
Molecule: long non-coding RNA, 665 nt
Organism: Acanthopagrus latus (yellowfin seabream)
Lineage: Eukaryota; Metazoa; Chordata; Actinopteri; Spariformes; Sparidae
Exons: 3
Source: RefSeq, a predicted model, not a curated record